GCGGGAUUAGUUCAUCGGUAGAAUAUCUGCUUUCCAAGCAGAGGAGACGGGUUCGAUUCCCGUAUCCCGCUCCA
RNAcentral lists this transfer RNA (74 nucleotides) under Candidatus Roizmanbacteria bacterium. RNAcentral's name for it is "tRNA-Gly". It matches the Rfam family "tRNA". Rfam says of the family: Transfer RNA (tRNA) molecules are approximately 80 nucleotides in length. Their secondary structure includes four short double-helical elements and three loops (D, anti-codon, and T loops). The record is from RNAcentral. Lineage: Bacteria; Candidatus Roizmaniibacteriota.